Molecule: ribosomal RNA, 253 nt
Filed under: uncultured bacterium
Lineage: Bacteria
Description: partial 16S ribosomal RNA
Rfam family: Bacterial small subunit ribosomal RNA
Source: RNAcentral
UACGUAGGGUGCAAGCGUUGUCCGGAAUUAUUGGGCGUAAAGAGCUCGUAGGCGGUUUGUCGCGUCGGGAGUGAAAACCUUGGGCUUAACCCAGGGCUUGCUUUCGAUACGGGCAGACUAGAGGUAUGCAGGGGAGAACGGAAUUCCUGGUGUAGCGGUGAAAUGCGCAGAUAUCAGGAGGAACACCGGUGGCGAAGGCGGUUCUCUGGGCAUGAUCUGACGCUGAGGAGCGAAAGUGUGGGGAGCGAACAGG